ACAACGAUGUCGCUGUUAGGAAAAAGCACUAUUCUCUCAUUUUGCCUUUGGGCCCAAGAAAGGAGCGUCCCCAAGUCCUGACGGCUGACGCCAUCGACGCGGCGACGCCCUCCAACAAAACCGAAGAGGCGAGGAAGGAACACAUGCUCUCUCCGCUGUUCUUGCUGAGUUGUUGUGGACAAAAAGAGCACGAAAGUGGGUAGAGAAAACGGGGGGCAAGCCAACCACACUCGCAGCCAGCCUGCCCGCUCGCCCGCCCGCCAUUCUUGCCGAUUCGAGUCGACGUCACGCCUCCGGCGCCCCCUUCGGUUGUCACCUCGGGGGUCGCGGAUUGGUGGAGGGGAGGAUUUGAGCGGCGCGGCCAUGGAUACAACAUCUAGGGCCGCCAAGAUCCCGUCGCUCCACCAGACGGAGAUCAACUGGGAUAACCUCGACAAGACCAAGCUCUACGUGGUGGGCGCAGGCAUGUUCAGCGGGGUCACCGUGGCGCUGUACCCUGUCUCGGUGGUCAAGACCCGGAUGCAGGUUGCCUCUGGGGACGCCAUGGGGAGGAACGCACUGGCUACCUUCAAGAACAUCCUUAAGGUGGACGGCGUGCCAGGGCUGUACCGGGGGUUUCCUACUGUUAUCAUUGGGGCUGUACCAACUAGGAUCAUCUUCCUCACGGCGCUUGAGACAACCAAAGCAGCCUCUCUCAAGCUUGUUGAGCCCUUCAAGCUGUCAGAGCCGGUGCAGGCUGCCUUUGCCAAUGGCCUUGCCGGUCUGUCGGCAUCUACAUGUUCGCAGGCUAUUUUUGUCCCAAUUGAUGUGAUCAGCCAGAAAUUGAUGGUUCAAGGGUAUUCUGGUAAUGUCAGAUACAAAGGUGGAAUAGAUGUUGCUCGCAAGGUCAUAAAGGCUGAUGGCAUUAGGGGGCUCUACAGAGGAUUUGGACUCUCUGUUAUGACCUAUGCACCAUCGAGUGCUGUGUGGUGGGCGAGUUAUGGUUCUAGCCAGCGCAUAAUUUGGAGUGCCCUUGGCCAUUUGCAUAACAAAGAAGAGGCUCCUAGCCAAUUGAAAAUAGUUGGUGUUCAAGCAUCAGGGGGGAUUUUUGCUGGUGCUGUGACCUCUUUUGUUACGACUCCCAUAGAUACAAUCAAGACCAGGCUGCAGCUGUUCCUUCUGCUGACAAACCAGGACCAGUUUGUCAUGGUUUCUGUUAUAAGGUUAUGGAUAAUGAAAAUAAGCCAAAAGCUGGGGAAGUUGUUAAAAGAUUGAUUGCUGAAGAUGGAUGGAAAGGUUUGUACAGAGGGUUGGGUCCAAGAUUUUUCAGCUCAUCAGCUUGGGGUACCUCAAUGAUAGUAUGCUACGAGUACCUGAAGCGCUUGUGUGCUAAAGUUGAAGAGGUCUGACUUCUGUUCUUACUAUCCUGGAAGUUUUGUAUUAGCAGAAGUGAAAUAAUGCUGUAUGUCGACAACAUUGACACCACCGGAAGCUUCAGUUCUUGCUGACGUAGGUGAAAGCAUUCAACAUGGAUGUUUGAUGGUGUACUUCAUUUGAUGCUAGACAAUAGUCUUUACAAACUUUGCUUCUCUGGGCUAUAUUCUCAAAAAAAUGGAGGGGCCUAUAUUUUUUUGCUCAUAUGAUGAAUAUGGGUUAGGCGGAUUAUUUUAGGUGAGUAUAAACGAUAUCAGAUGUACACACUUCUCAUUCUUUUAUACAUGAAGGCUGUUUUAGCGAGGCUGUAUGAUUAUGACCAGUCUGGAUGAUUGAGACCAGUUGUAAUGACACGGAACGAUGUUUCCGGGAGAUGCUGUUUUGACCUUUUUUUUUUCCUCAUGCGGUUUCAGUUA
This is an RNA transcript of Zea mays, 1829 nucleotides long. RefSeq lists it as uncharacterized. The transcript is spliced from 7 exons. The record is from RefSeq and is marked validated. NCBI's taxonomy places the organism in Eukaryota, Viridiplantae, Streptophyta, Magnoliopsida, Poales, Poaceae.